GAUGAACGCUAGCGGCAGGCCUAACACAUGCAAGUCGAGGGGGAAGCCCUUUCGGGGGCCGUAACCGGCGCACGGGUGCGUAACGCGUAUGCAACCUACCUUUCACCGGGGGAUAGCCCGAAGAAGUUUGGAUUAAUACCCCCUAAUAUUAUUGGAUUGCAUCAUUUGAUAAUUAAAACUGCGGUGGUGACAGAUGGGCAUGCGUCCUAUUAGCUAGUUGGAGUGGUAACGGCACCCGAGGGCUACGUUAGGUAGGGGUCCUGCGAGGGAGAUCCCCCACACUGGUACUGAGACAGGGGCCAGACUACAACGGGAGGCAGCAUUGAGGAAGAUUGGGCAAUGGUCGGAAGACUGAACCAGCCAUGCCGCGUGCAGGAAGAAUGCCGUAUGGGUUGUAAACUGCUUUUAUAUGGGAAGAAUAAGGCGUACGUGUACGUUUAUGACGGUACCAUAUGAAUAAGCAGCGGCUAACUCCGUG
Molecule: ribosomal RNA, 478 nt
Filed under: uncultured bacterium
Lineage: Bacteria
Description: partial 16S ribosomal RNA
Rfam family: Bacterial small subunit ribosomal RNA
Source: RNAcentral